RNAcentral lists this transfer RNA (73 nucleotides) under Felis catus (domestic cat). It matches the Rfam family "tRNA". Rfam says of the family: Transfer RNA (tRNA) molecules are approximately 80 nucleotides in length. Their secondary structure includes four short double-helical elements and three loops (D, anti-codon, and T loops). Lineage: Eukaryota; Metazoa; Chordata; Mammalia; Carnivora; Felidae. RNAcentral also lists the same sequence under 4 other names. The record is from Rfam by way of RNAcentral.
GCCUAGCUGGCUCAGUUGGUAGAGCAUGGGACUCUUGAUCUCAGGGUUGUGAGUUCAAGCCCCAGGUUGAGUG